CCGUACAUUUUUAGCAUCAUUACUUCAGUCACACGAUCCUUCAGAAAUCAUGUUGAUAUUCUGAUUUACUGCUCAUAAAAACAUUUAUUAUUAUGAUGAUGUUGAAAACAUCUGAGUAGGAUUUUUUCACGUUUCUUUGAUGAAUAGAAAAUUAAGAAAAACUGCAUAUCUGAAAUAGAGAUUGAAUGAUAUGAAUAUUAAUUUCUAUCAUUUCUUUUCCGAAAAAUCAAAAUAUGACUCUAAGCUUUUGAAUGGUAUAGUGUAUUGUUACAAAAGCCUUUUAUUUCACAUACAGUAAAUGCUGAUCUUUGUAUCUUUCUAUUCAUCAAAGAAUCAUGAAAAAAAUGUAGUCAACUGUUUUAAAUAUUAAUAAUAAUUUAAUUCCUUGAGCAGAAUAUCAUCAUAUUAGAAUGAUUUCUGAAGAUCAUGGGUUUUAAAUUGUAAAAAUAUUUCACAACAUUACUACUUUUGCUGUACUUUGGAUCAAAUAAAUGCAGUCUUGGUGAGCAGAAGAGACUUCUUUAAAAAAUAUUAAAAAUCUUACUGUUCAAAAACUGUUGACUGGUAUAUAGAUUACAGAAAUGUUAUACUGUAAUGUUAUAUAUAUACAUUUCUGUCCCCCUCACUUCUGUAAUGAUGUCUACGCCCCUGGUUCAUGUAGAACGGAGGAAAACAGCCCUAAACAAGCACAGCACUUCUUCUCUUUACAGGUUUUAGAUACAGAGACAGUGUAACAGCAUGGCUGCUGCGACUGAAAAAGACACAGUAUGGAUCGGGUUCAUGGACAUCGUUCCGGUCAUCGGGACGGUAAAAGAGGCAGUGGAGCUGGUGCUGGCUCUGUAUGAAGGGAAUAAAGAGGUGAUAAAGGAGAAAGAGAAGGCCAUUGAAAGCAUUGUGAAAGAGUCAUCAAAAAUACAUGAGAAGGAAAACUAUGUGAAAAAGUUGACUCUAGCUGAUAAACCAGUAGCAGCAGCAGCUGCAGAUGAAUUUUCUGGACUCAGAAAUGUGAGAGAGGUCAGAAAGGAAAUGAUUAUUGAAUAUAUGGCCAAAGGUUCCAAAAGGGGAACAAAACCUCCAACUCCAGCUGAGCAGAAAGAGAGACAGAAAAGAGUGGAGGCCAUUAGGAAAGACACGCUAGAAAAGAUCCGUAUCAUCGAACCAAACUUCAAAGAAAAACGAAUGGAAGAAAUAAAGGAAGAACUGCAAAGGUCGAAAAGAGGUGAACAUGUCUUUAACAAAGACAUUCUUAAAUUUAAUUCCAAGGUGCUGACUGACUUUAUAGAAAAAUAUUGUAUUUAUAAUCUACGAGGAUAUGAUCAGCUGGAAAUGAAUGAAUUAGGCAGACACACACUUCAUCCAGACACAGCAGAAAAUAUUCAGACAAAAAUGGUGGUUCACUUUGGUGAGGAUGAAUUCUACGUGAAUGCGAAUGCAGUGUUGUAUGGUGAAUAUUGCAGAGCACUGCAUGAAGCUAUGUUAGUUGUGCUGGGCCACAUAAACCCAGAUGACGUGAUACAAGAGGAGAAACAAAAGGUGACAGAAGAGGAGAGAAAAAAGAUAGAAGAGGAGAAACAAAGGGUGAAUAAUAUCAUAGAUAAUAUGAAUGAGCAUGAGAUCUAUGUGGACCAACUGGCAAAGGUCAAGUGGAUUAAAGAGAAUAGAGACAACCGGUUUAAAAAUGUAAAACAGGAAGUUGUGAACAUGUAUAACAAAGAUUGUGGGGUUGAGUGGUGCAUUCGCAUUCUGCGUAAAAUUGCACCUUUGUUUGGACUUACACUGGGUUCCAAAUUAUCAAGCAAGUGAUAUAUCAAUAGGAUUUCGGUACAAUAAAAAGUCACGUUUUUGUUUGUGUUGUUAUUGU
This is a long non-coding RNA of Cyprinus carpio (common carp), 1861 nucleotides long. The record is from Ensembl. Lineage: Eukaryota; Metazoa; Chordata; Actinopteri; Cypriniformes; Cyprinidae.